RNAcentral lists this transfer RNA (58 nucleotides) under Firmicutes bacterium CAG:240. Its description in RNAcentral is "transfer RNA-Val(TAC)". It matches the Rfam family "tRNA", at positions 8 to 62 of the family's 71-position model. Rfam says of the family: Transfer RNA (tRNA) molecules are approximately 80 nucleotides in length. The record is from RNAcentral. RNAcentral also lists the same sequence under 1 other name. Lineage: Bacteria; Bacillati; Bacillota.
UAGCUCAGCUGGUUAGAGCACCUGCCUUACAAGCAGGGGGUCACUGGUUCGAGUCCAG